GAUCAUGGCUCAGGACGAACGCUGGCGGCGUGCUUAACACAUGCAAGUCGAACGCGCCUGUCCUCUGGGUUUCUGGGGGGUGGGUGAAUGGCGAACGGGUGAGUAACACGUGAGUAACCUGCCCCCUUCUUCGGGAUAACGGUCUGAAAGGGCUGCUAAUACCGGGUAUUCACUGGUCUCCGCAUGGGGUCUGGUGGAAAGGGUUUUUUCUGGUGGGGGAUGGGCUCGCGGCCUAUCAGCUUGUUGGUGGGGUGAUGG
This 258-nucleotide ribosomal RNA is filed under the name uncultured bacterium. RNAcentral's name for it is "partial 16S ribosomal RNA". It matches the Rfam family "Bacterial small subunit ribosomal RNA", at positions 15 to 263 of the family's 1533-position model. The record is from RNAcentral.